UCUGACAGAAGACAGUGACAUGAUAGGAGUGGUGACACAAAGCUCUUACUGUUACAUUCAAUAAUUGAUUCUCCUGGAUGGAUUGUGACUCCCUAAAGGUUGCAAAGAGAGAAAGAGUUGAAUUAUCCUGCUGCUUACCAAAAGAAAAACAGCAUAAGAAUACUGGUUAAUGGGCAUGCUUUGGAUUCACACUGGAUCCUGGAAGCAGAAUCGUCCCCUGUGGAUGUAAAAGUUUCAAGGACACCUGGGCUUUUUCAACAGACUUUCACCCCACCAUGAUCAUGGCUACAAAACAAGAUCCAUCCCUGGGAAUGGGCUUUGUACAAAGCUGGUGU
Molecule: long non-coding RNA, 335 nt
Organism: Pyrgilauda ruficollis (rufous-necked snowfinch)
Lineage: Eukaryota; Metazoa; Chordata; Aves; Passeriformes; Passeridae
Exons: 3
Source: RefSeq, a predicted model, not a curated record